UACGUAGGGGGCAAGCGUUGUCCGGAAUUAUUGGGCGUAAAGAGCUCGUAGGCGGUCUGUCGCGUCUGCUGUGAAAUCCCGAGGCUCAACCUCGGGCCUGCAGUGGGUACGGGCAGACUAGAGUGUGGUAGGGGAGACUGGAAUUCCUGGUGUAGCGGUGGAAUGCGCAGAUAUCAGGAGGAACACCGGUGGCGAAGGCGGGUCUCUGGGCAGUAACUGACGCUGAGGAGCGAAAGCAUGGGGAGCGAACAGG
Molecule: ribosomal RNA, 253 nt
Filed under: uncultured bacterium
Lineage: Bacteria
Description: partial 16S ribosomal RNA
Rfam family: Bacterial small subunit ribosomal RNA
Source: RNAcentral